UACGUAGGUCCCGAGCGUUGCCCGGAUUUAUUGGGCGUAAAGCGAGCGCAGGUGGUUUAUUAAGUCUGGUGUAAAAGGCAGUGGCUCAACCAUUGUAUGCAUUGGAAACUGGUAGACUUGAGUGCAGGAGAGGAGAGUGGAAUUCCAUGUGUAGCGGUGAAAUGCGUAGAUAUAUGGAGGAACACCGGUGGCGAAAGCGGCUCUCUGGCCUGUAACUGACACUGAGGCACGAAAGCGUGGGGAGCAAAUAGG
RNAcentral lists this ribosomal RNA (252 nucleotides) under uncultured bacterium. RNAcentral's name for it is "partial 16S ribosomal RNA". It matches the Rfam family "Bacterial small subunit ribosomal RNA", at positions 524 to 776 of the family's 1533-position model. The record is from RNAcentral.